GCAGAAAACCUCAUUGAUUUGGAAGUCGUCCAUCAGAAUGCCCUUCCCAGUUCCUGAGGACCUAAUAGAAAGAGCAGCACUUCUUCGAUGUGCACAGAAAUGCUGUAUAUGGUAAAGGACAAAGGGUUUUUAAGACACUUAGCUUUUUGGUCAUUGAAUCUAGAAGGAUACCUCAAAUAUCACCAACUCUACAACAGAUAGGUACGUGGCUAUGUGUUCAGGAAAUGAAUUACAAUAAACAUCCAUUCAGAAAUUUCAAACGGCUUUAUUGGAGCUUUUUAAUGUUAAUAACUGACGGUAUUGUUUUCUUUAGAUACACUCAACCCUGGACUUGGACAAGUGCUGUGUUUCAAAAUGCAGAAACGUCCCGGACACGCCACAUGCCCCCUUGUGAAACGAUGGAUGGAUUCCGUACCCAUGGGAGAAUCUCUGGUUGCUCUCUUGGAUCAGCAGUCCUACCCUCCCUUCAACUAACCGAGAGGGGACAUCAGCACCCAGGCUCUGUUCUAAGGCACAGGAGAGAGGGACCCAGGAGAACUCUCACUUUACAUGAAGGUACGACUCAGGAUAGCAUUCUCGGUGAUGCCUCUGAGGCUGAGUUGGGUGUCCCUCUUCUGUUCAUUCACUUCACUAUUACAGAUUAUUGUCACACUACUCAGCACAGUAGCUUAUUGUUGAUUUGCUUGUCUGAGAAAUGUAGGAAUUGA
This 707-nucleotide long non-coding RNA is filed under the name Felis catus (domestic cat). RNAcentral's name for it is "lncRNA (ENSFCAG00000044141.2)". Lineage: Eukaryota; Metazoa; Chordata; Mammalia; Carnivora; Felidae. The record is from RNAcentral.